CCAGGCGCCCCUCUGCUAGAUUUUAUAUACACAUUAGGGAUGUGAAAACUGAGUUUGCAUGACAUUAUUUAACGUUCAAGGUCAUGCAGACAAGAACCAGAGCGGCCUGGAUCUGUCUGACUGUUCAUACCUUCGCAUUCCUCAGUGUAUGUCCUCUAACCUCUAUUUUGUUUUGGUAAUGCUGAUUCAGGAAUGAAUGAAAUAUGUUCAGCCCUACUGGAUCCUAUCAUGUCUUCAAGCUUCCAAGAGAGAUUAUUAUAGUUGGGAUUUAAAAAAAAAUCCCCUUUCAAGUUCACAUAUUUAUGAAUGUGUCAAUGAACACUUUAAGAAUGUAUCUAUCAAUAUCAAAUGUGGUUUUUAGCAGAAACCUUGAAAAAAUUGCAGAAUUAUCCUCUGAAAUAUUGCCGCUAUUAUUUUUUAAAAUUGCAAGAAAAUGUUCUGCCAUUUCAGACCAUUUAUCUCUGUUAACAAGACACUUUUUUAGUUGGAUAGAUAAUGUACACCCAUCUGGUCUGCCGUUUCUUCAUUUACUGUGGUAAUAAUAACUAAAGGCAUUUCUCCAUUGCUUUGGCAAUGCCCAGGCCAAUCUUUCCCCUUUCCUGCUGUUGAUGUGGGAUGCAGAAAACAAAACCAAAAAUGUGACCUGGUUAUACUACACAGACGUGCCAUUUAGGAUGUCAUUUCAGUGUUUAUGAGGGAACAGUGUCUAAGUGUUAAUGAAAGCAGAAGCUUAUUGAAAACAUCCCUCGCUACUCGGGAAAGACACGGGCAAAUGUCCGAAAAUAUUUCUGUGCUCUUAGCAGACACUACCCCAUUCUUACAGCUUCUCUUUCACAGAGCUCUCCGGUACGAGGUCUACACCUUUGCAGAAAAAUGUGUGUCAUUCAGAUUUUUUGCCUGAGUUGGGCAGUCACAUAAGAGAAUUACAAAGAGCUGGACCCACCCUGCACUUGGCUUUAGCGCUGUUUACAACACAACGAGAAGUGAAGCGUUGAGAGACAAUUUUCUGAAUAAUUCAAGAGUUGCACGUUGGCAUACAUUUUGUCUGGGAAUUCUAGAAGGGAUU
Molecule: long non-coding RNA, 1066 nt
Organism: Leopardus geoffroyi (Geoffroy's cat)
Lineage: Eukaryota; Metazoa; Chordata; Mammalia; Carnivora; Felidae
Exons: 2
Source: RefSeq, a predicted model, not a curated record